This 406-nucleotide unclassified non-coding RNA is filed under the name soil metagenome. RNAcentral describes it as "partial contains 5.8S ribosomal RNA, internal transcribed spacer 2, and large subunit ribosomal RNA". The stretch from base 1 to 121 matches the Rfam family "5.8S ribosomal RNA", at positions 35 to 154 of the family's 154-position model. The record is from RNAcentral.
GAUGAAGAACGUAGCGAAAUGCGAUAAGUAAUGUGAAUUGCAGAAUUCAGUGAAUCAUCGAAUCUUUGAACGCACCUUGCGCCCUUUGGCCAUUCCGAAGGGCAUGCCUGUUUGAGUAUCAUGAACACCUCAACUCUUCAUGGUUUUCCAUGAUGAGCUUGGGCUUUGGGGGUCUUGCUGGCCUGUGGGUCGGCUCCUCUCAAAUGAAUCAGCUUGCCGGUUUUUGGUGGGCAUCACAGGUGUGAUAACUAUCUACGCUUGUGGUUUUCCACCAGGGUAACCUUCAGCAGUGGAGGUUCACUGGAGCUUACAAAUGUCUCUCCUCUGUGAGGACAGCCCUUUGAAUGUUUGAUCUCAAAUCAGGUAGGACUACCCGCUGAACUUAAGCAUAUCAAUAAGCGGAGGA